This is a long non-coding RNA of Haliotis rubra (blacklip abalone), 436 nucleotides long. RefSeq lists it as uncharacterized. NCBI's taxonomy places the organism in Eukaryota, Metazoa, Mollusca, Gastropoda, Lepetellida, Haliotidae. The record is from RefSeq and is a predicted model, not a curated record. The transcript is spliced from 2 exons.
GUCACAUGUGAGAAGAAGAAAUUGUAUGACACAUGUAAGAAGUAUAGACAGUGUCACAUGUGAGAAGAAGAAAUUGUAUGACACAUGUAAGAAGUAUAAACUGUUGUCACAUGUGAGAAGAAGAAAUUGUAUGACGUUUGAAAAAAGUAUAAACUGUGUCACACAUGUAAGACGCAUUCAGUGAUCGAUGAUUCGAUGAUAUACUCUACCAUAUUCAUUUCCAAUGAACAUAUUGUAAGAUGAUUGUUCAGUUUGAUCAAGACUGAAUAACAUGUAUAAUAUUAUUUUGUGACUGUGAAAGUGUGAAUGUUAAAUCUAUACUGCUGAAGGGAUGUGUUGGAUAGAUAAAGGUCCAUAAAUAUUUCUUUGACACAUUAUGUACUAAGUAGAAGAUAAUGUUACAGGCAGGAUUUCAAUAAAAGCGUAUUCUAAAACA